GACGAACGCUGGCGGCGUGCCUAAUACAUGCAAGUAGAACGCUGAAGAGAGGAGCUUGCUCUUCUUGGAUGAGUUGCGAACGGGUGAGUAACGCGUAGGUAACCUGCCUUGUAGCGGGGGAUAACUAUUGGAAACGAUAGCUAAUACCGCAUAACAAUGGAUGACACAUGUCAUUUAUUUGAAAGGGGCAAUUGCUCCACUACAAGAUGGACCUGCGUUGUAUUAGCUAGUAGGUGAGGUAAUGGCUCACCUAGGCGACGAUACAUAGCCGACCUGAGAGGGUGAUCGGCCACACUGGGACUGAGACACGGCCCAGACUCCUACGGGAGGCAGCAGUAGGGAAUCUUCGGCAAUGGGGGCAACCCUGGCCGAGCAACGCCGCGUGAGUGAAGAAGGGUUUCGGAUCGUAAAGCUCUGUUGUAAGUCAAGAACGGGUGUGAGAGUGGAAAGUUCACACUGUGACGGUAGCUUACCAGAAAGGGACGGCUAACUACGUG
Molecule: ribosomal RNA, 497 nt
Filed under: uncultured bacterium
Lineage: Bacteria
Description: partial 16S ribosomal RNA
Rfam family: Bacterial small subunit ribosomal RNA
Source: RNAcentral